UCUCAUAAUUGUAAUAUCAUAAUAAAUCAGAGUUAAAAAAAACACUUUUAAAUUUGAUUUUAGGUUUUAUGAAGUGUUUGUUUCUACUUACUUAGUUAUUUUAAGUUUAGGGUUCAGGUGACUUAAGUCUUCCAACAGAUAAUGUAUAGAAGACUUCAUUCUAGGCGAAUCAAAAAUAUUUAACCUUAUUAGAAUUUUUGUCUCCUUAUAUAAAGAAAAUUUACACAUUCUCUCUGUUCUUCUCAAAGGGCUGCAACAAAAAUGUAAUGUUUUUCAUUCUAAAACUAUCCAAAUUCUCUCUAAUCUCUUUGAACUAAUAAACACAUCAAGCUUUAUAUUAAUUUCUCAUUUUUAUCUCAUGCCUUUCUCAUUGAUUUAUUUUGUUUUUGCAGGUUUUUCAUUUUAUGGUUCUCAUCUUACACUCUUUUAAAGGUAGAUUUAUAAAUCAUAUUUUUUUUUCAUUUGGUACCCUCUUGUUGCUUAAAUCUCUUAUAUUUCGAAAAAUUCUUUUGUUAUUUUAAGCUCUUACUUUAUUUUGAAGUUUUUCUAUGUUUUGAAGUCAUUUGAAUGCUUUUGGAUAUGUAGUUUUUUAGAUCUGAGAAAGACAUGGAAGACUUCCAAGAUUUAAUGGGCUAAGUCUUCUCGGAGAUCUUUUCAGAAGUCUUUUAAAAUUUAAUGGCCUAAGUUUUCUGGUGGAGUAUUUCUCCAUGUCUCCACUUUCAUAACAGAUUUGAGCAUCUUGGUAAGUCUUUGUGUAUGAUUUUCUUCAUUUGAUAACUUUUUGUUGCUUAAAACUUUUACUUUUAGAAAACUCUUUUGUUGUUUAAUGCUCUUACCUUAUUUUCAAGUUUUUCUAUGUUUUGAAGCCAUUUGAAUGCUUUUGAAUAUGCAUGUUUUCCAGGAAAACAGAUCUGGGCGUUUUAUUAAGUCUCCAUUUAUGAUUUUUUCUUAAUUUGAUCUGGAGCUAUCAAAGUGGAGGAGCUGUCCAAUCUUCUGGUAAACAGAUCUGAGUGUGUUGAAACAGAUGAAAGUUUUAAAUUUGAGGUAGACUUCCUGGAAGUCUUCCACGAAAUCUUCUAGGAAAUCUUCGUGGAAGGCUUUCUAUAAGUCUUCCACGGAGUCUUCAAAAACCUGAAACCUGAACACGAGGACUAUCAAAGUUUAUGAUGUGUAUGUCAAGUGGAGUCAAAACUUAUCUAUGUGGAGGAAUGAUUUCUAAAUUCAAGUGUAAUAGUUUUGUUUAUGAAUUGUGUUGUAAUUUGUAAGUGUGCUCUUUUAGUUGUGGAUUAUUUUACAAAUUUGAAGAGGUUUUAAUGAAAAGUUGGUAAAUAUGUUCAUGUGUACAAUAUUAUCCUGACGUUAUUGAAGUUAUAUACAAUUUCAAUAGCAAAACACAUAACACAAAAAAUUAGUCAAAUUUACUAAAGUAAGGGAGAAGACAUCUCAAAAACAUAGUUUUUAAUUCAUAAAAGAUCAAAAAUUACAUAAGAUAAGAACAUAUAACACUUUCACUCGAAGUCUUCUGGUAAAUCUUCGGAAGACUUAAAUUUUAAGCGAAAAUUUAAAUUUAAACGGAUAGCUCAAAUUGUAAAUGAAAAUUGAACAAUUAAAUUUCAUGAAAGUUAAAAAGUAUAUCUUAUGAUUUAAGAAGACACAUUAAACCAUAUGACUUAAUAUUCUUGAAGUUACUUAACACGUUUGAAAGUUAAAAAAUAUAUCUUUAAGUUACUUAACAAAUUUACAAAAACUAACGUAGAAGACUUGCACGUAAGUCUUCUGGAAUAAACCAGAAAUAUUAAUUAUCAUGAAUGUUGGUAACCUCAUAAUUAUAACCAAUUAAGUUAUUAAUUUCAUUCAGGAGCCCCAUUAUUGACUAAUAUACAUGAAUUAACAAGAAAAUAUUAAAAAGUCAUUAUAAUUUUAGAGAAAAUGAAAUUUUAUUAAACAUUGACGUAGAAAACUUUCACAAAAGUCGUUCAAAAGAUACGAAGUCUUUCAUUUAGGUCGUUUUGCAAUUAAAAAUUUACAAAGGAAGACUUCCAGAAAAGUCUACUCUACAUCAGACUUUUUGGGAAGUUUUCUUUUGUAAAUAUUGUUUUACUUUUGUUUUUGAAAAAAUCUUAAAAAUACCAGAGAUGUCUUCUAAGAUAAAUAUGUUAGUUGGUCAAAUUUCUGACGCAAUAUUUAUCCUAGAAGACUUACGGGUUAAUUGCAAAACUAACAUAUUUAUCCUAGAAGACUUCCAGAGAAGUCGUCUCCAAAAAAUAGACAUAAAAUUGAUUGCAAAACUAACACCUACAUUGACCAGAAGACUUCCGUAUAAGUUUUCUAAUUGUAGAAUACUUACACGAAAGUCUUCUAGCAAAUAUAUCUGGAAAAAAAUAUUCAAAAAUCAUUGUUAGAUCCAAUGAGGUUCAUGUUUAGCUUCUCUAAGCACAUAUCAUUUCUUAAUGAAAGUUACUUACUCGUUCUUGACUAAGAAUCAUGAACUUGAGUAACUCUAGUAAGCUUAUAAAUUUUGAAAUAAAAAGUUGGGAUUUUGAGAUGAAAUAAAAGAGGAAGUGAAAGGGAAAUUGUUUGUAUGUGUAAGAAAUAAGAAUAUGAAAAUGUAGAUGUUGAUUUUAGGUGCAUUUAGAGCUUGAAAUUGUUUGUUCAUGGUGGUUGAUAUAUUGAUAACAGUGGCAAUGUUGUAAAUAAAAGAGGAAGACGAGGAUGAUUGAGUAAAACAACAAUUUUUUAAAAAAUAAAUUCAAAAAUAAUGGUAUUUUCGUGAAUAAUUCAAACUUUUGGGGGUUAAUAGGGCUAAUGAGAAUUCAAAAAAAAAAAUCAUGGAUUAGUUUUGUGUUUGACUUUGAGUCAUUUUUGCCAAAAGCCCAAUAUAACACUUAUAAAUAUGAAUAUAUAAUAAAUAAAAUAUAACUUUUCACUAUUUUCUUCAAAAUAAAGUUUAUAUUUUAAUUUAUAUUACAAAAUAGUUAGUUAAUAUAUCAUUAGUUUAAUAAUUAUUUAUUAAGUAACUAUCAAGAAAUUUAUAAUUAUUUAUGAUAACGUUUACGAUAAUUAUGUCACGUUUAGUGCCUAUUCAUAUAGUUCUAAUUGGAUUGUGUUUCAUAGUUUUAUUGGCAAAUUUUUUAUUUUGUGUGUAAAAUAUUACUCCCUCCGUAUCACUUUAAAUGGUGUUUUAAAAGAAAAAAAUUAUUUCAUUUUAAGUGAUGUUUUUAAGUUCCCAUGUAAAAAGUAAAUGCAAUUUAUGUUUUUAACUAUUUUUAUUUUGCAGUAUGAUUUUUUUAUUGAUUGAAUUAUUUAUAUUUAUUGUUAUUUUUAUACAAAUAAAAAAGAUUGAAUAAAUUUUUGUAAUUUCUUAAUCGGUGUGCAAAAAUCUUAAAACUCACUUACUGUGAUACAUAAAGAGUAUUAUAUAUUUUUAAUUUUCAGAAGAAUAAAAUUAAUGAUAAAUGGAUUAUUCAUGAUUCCAUUGAUGUAGCAACAUUUUGGAUCAUAACAGUUUUCGGUAAAUCUUAUUUUGCAUUAAAUGGAGAAAGAAUCUUGUAACACAUUUAUAGACAUAAAGAAUCAUGAAGAAUUUAUCAACCGAUAACUUUUUCUUAUAACUAGAUACUCAAUUAAAAGAUCUUUAUAACUCGAUAUUCAAUUAAUGAUAUAUUAAAAAAAUAUUUAUAAUAUAAAUGAAAAUUAUAGAAAAUUUUCUAUUGCGAAAUUAAAAGCGUUUAUAUUUUUUGUUUGAAUUAUUUCUUAUUUAUAAUUUUAUUUUGUUAAUGUUGAGUUAUUCAAAAUAUAUUUUUCAAUAUUUAUAAUCUAAUGUUUUGGAAAAGUGUUGAUUUAUAUUUGUGCCAAAAAAACAUCAAUUUUAAAAGUCAUAAUAGACUGUUGUUCAACUAUAAGUGCUAAUUAACGUUACGACUAAACUAUUUUAUGGUCAACGAAAAUUUAUGAUUAAAUUAGUUUGUCAAUAAAAUUUGAAAAAAAAUUUUUGUUUACGAUAAAUUGAUGAAUUAUUUCAACAAACUUUGAAAUUUUUGAAAGUCGAUAAUUUAAAUGAUAUUUUUCUUUUUUCGAUUUAGUUGGGUAAUAUGAACUGAAGCAACUGUGCAAAAGGCGAAACAUUACUUUUCUUAUUUAAGAGUUGAUUUUUAGGUUCUUUAUUUCAAACUCAAAAAACGGUUUCUUAUAUUUCGAUAAAAAUUUCACACUAACAAUCCUUCAUUAAUCAUGCUCGUGGCGACAACCAUUCGUGAACAAUCCGUGAGUGAUCCAAUUCACGACCUUUUCGUACUAGAUUAUUAUCAUUCAGAUAAAAUAUGUUUACCAAGUGGAUUCCUACACGUGGUGACCCACAACGGAACCACGUUAAAGCUGCAGAAACUUGUUUGGUAUUUGAUGACCCUACACGUAAAAGCUUGUAUGUCCUAAAUGAUAUGUUACUCCGUUCGUUUCAGUGAUGGGCCUGUGACUUUUUCAGCUCAAUAAUAAUUAAUUAUGAUGUUUUGUGAGCCUAUUAUUAAAAUGGGCUAAAAUUUGUUAGAAAUGUUUUUGAAUAACAGAUCCAGUAAAGAAAUUUAAUUGAGCUGUCAAAUUCAUUUGUAGCCUUUGAUUGUUCGUCUGACUUAUGCAGGACAUGUCCUGUAAGCUAAGGUUUUCAGUCCUGUACAUUUGAACUCUGUAACCGUGAAUGAUAAGAGAACGUUUCAUAAAUACAUUUUGUCAUCUCCUUCAUACAAAGUUCUACUUUUCCAUUUUGGUAACCUGGCUCUAAUAGGUUAACUAGAGAUUUGAUGUCAUGUGCUAUGAAACGGAAACCAAUUCUCGAAUAAUAAAUGGUUUAUGAUUACAAAAUUAACCUCAAAAAUGUGGGAAGAUUUAACCAUUUGUAACUUAUGUUGGAUAUGAUGAUUGUGCGAAUGAUUUUCACCUGAAAAGUGAUGAAUUUUUGAGGGCACUUGUUUUGUAAAAUUUUCAAACAAUCUUGUUUUGUUUUAGUUUCUGUUGUGAGGACAAACCUUAUUUAGAUUCAUUGAUGUUAAGCUUCUGAUUUAUGAAACAGAGAGUUUCACUUGUUUUGAUGUUAAACACAUUAGAUCUCUUAGAACAGUUAUCAUAUUAUUUAUUUUUAUUAUUAUCAUCUUCCAUAAACAUAAAUAAACACCCCACACUUUAAACACCAUUGACCAACAAUUAACCGCCAGACAUCUUAAUUAUAUCAACAAUAAUAUCAGUCUUUAACUUAUUGACGUAAACA
This is a long non-coding RNA of Brassica rapa (field mustard), 5257 nucleotides long. RefSeq lists it as uncharacterized. Lineage: Eukaryota; Viridiplantae; Streptophyta; Magnoliopsida; Brassicales; Brassicaceae. The record is from RefSeq and is a predicted model, not a curated record.